Long non-coding RNA from Sitophilus oryzae (rice weevil), 568 nucleotides. RefSeq lists it as uncharacterized. The record is from RefSeq and is a predicted model, not a curated record. NCBI's taxonomy places the organism in Eukaryota, Metazoa, Arthropoda, Insecta, Coleoptera, Curculionidae. The transcript has 2 exons.
UCGAUCAUACAGUAUUAUUAUACACAUAAAUAGUAAUAUUAUACACAUAAACAUCCCUUGAUAAAGAUCAACAUUUUGUAGAGCAAUAACAGCAUCAAAUAAUGGAAAUAAUGGACCCUAUUGCUCAAAUCAAAAACAAAAUCUCAGCAUUACCAAUUUAUUGGUUAUAUCAAUAAAAGAAAUUAUUGAGUUUAUGAGUCUAGAUCCUACAAGCAAGCAGAUCUAUCACAUAAUUUUAAAUGAAGAUUUAUCUAUUAUAGUAAUUUAUUCUAAUAACGAAAAAAAAACUUUGGAUCAAAAAAUAUUUUCUUCUGAUGAGGUUUAUGAAUAUUAAAGUCUGUUGGGAAGUUUGGCCAUUAUGUGUUGGUAUACAAUUUAUUUAUGGUGUUACAGUAGUUAAACCAUCCGAGUACGAAACAUGUUUAAAAUCCACUAUUCUUAAUGAAUGGUAACUACCAACUUGAGAGGAAGCUAAGAGAAAGGUUGUAUUGGGUGGACUACAAGGAAAAGGGACAUAUACAUGAGGAUCUGGAAGGGCUAUAACAUUACGUCUCAAGCCAUGGGACAA